AGGAUAAUAGUUUAUAAAAACAUUUAAGUUGCAUUUAAAAAAUAUUAACAAAUAAUUUAUCUUA
Molecule: transfer RNA, 64 nt
Filed under: Liophloeus tessulatus
Lineage: Eukaryota; Metazoa; Arthropoda; Insecta; Coleoptera; Curculionidae
Description: tRNA-Ala
Source: RNAcentral